GGUCAACCACAAGGCGUCAUUUUGUUUCAGCAAAGUCUAUUGAGCACCGAUUAGGUUUGUUGUGACAACUGAGAAACAGCAAUAAUAAAAACUGGAAUCUGCCAUUUGAGUUCUUCACCUAUCCCCUCAUCACUGCUAUAGCCAAACAGAAGUGAGAAGACGGAAGAAAAGAAUUCUUACAGAGACAAGACGUAAGAGGAAAGAAGAGAAGCAUUUCCUCAAGUGGGCGCCAGAGGAACUUGAGAACCCCAGCCUUUGUGCACGGCUGUGCAACCUGGACUUUGUCGAGACAGGAGUGCAUUACCAUGACAUUUAAGGAGGAGAACAAGCUGCUCUGAAUUGUGUCAAUCUCACUUGUGAUCUAUUUUUGAACAAUGUACUAGAAAGAUAUUCCCGUUCACACAGAACUAGUGAUUUACCCUCUGGUGGAUUCUACCCCUCCAGCUACUUGGCGAUAAAUAAAGCCAGAGUGGAGAGAGAGUGUAAAUAAAAAUUAACUGUAC
RNAcentral lists this long non-coding RNA (503 nucleotides) under Homo sapiens (human). RNAcentral's name for it is "HSALNT0158006". The record is from RNAcentral. Lineage: Eukaryota; Metazoa; Chordata; Mammalia; Primates; Hominidae.